CAGUCGCCGCGGUAAUACGAGGGGGGCAAGCGUUGUUCGGAAUUAUUGGGCGUAAAGGGUGCGUAGGCGGCUUGACAAGUCUUGUGUGAAAUCUAUGGGCUCAACCCAUAGUCUGCAGGCGAAACUGUCGGGCUUGAGUAUGGGAGAGGUGAGUGGAAUUUCCAGUGUAGCGGUGAAAUGCGUAGAUAUCGGAAGGAACACCUGUGGCGAAGGCGACUAUCUGGGCCAACACUGACACUGAGGCACGAAAGCGUGGGGAGCAAACAGGAUUAGAUACCCCAGUAGUCCCUGUCUCUUAUAC
Molecule: ribosomal RNA, 301 nt
Filed under: uncultured bacterium
Lineage: Bacteria
Description: partial 16S ribosomal RNA
Rfam family: Bacterial small subunit ribosomal RNA
Source: RNAcentral